RNAcentral lists this transfer RNA (72 nucleotides) under Marmota monax (woodchuck). RNAcentral describes it as "tRNA.Ala". Lineage: Eukaryota; Metazoa; Chordata; Mammalia; Rodentia; Sciuridae. The record is from RNAcentral.
CCAGGUAUUGUUCAGUGGUUGAAUCUGUGCUUAGCAUGUACAAAGUUCUUGGUUCAAUCCCUAGCACCCUGC